Long non-coding RNA from Drosophila albomicans, 1016 nucleotides. RefSeq lists it as uncharacterized. The record is from RefSeq and is a predicted model, not a curated record. The transcript has 4 exons. NCBI's taxonomy places the organism in Eukaryota, Metazoa, Arthropoda, Insecta, Diptera, Drosophilidae.
UGUUUUAGGUGACAAUUAUGGCAAUUUCCUAACAAAUAAGCUUAAGAAGAAAGCGUGGAUCAGCGUGGAGCAACAAUUUGCCAUUAAAACUGGUGUUAAACGCUCUUAUAACACACUGCGAGUUAAAUACAGAAAUAAAACUAAUCAAAAAGAAUGCGAUAAAUAAUUCGUCAUCGACCAGGGCGCCGUCUAUAGUCAGGCCGACCAUCUUGUGAUGAAGCUGAAUGCAACGGUAAAUCUGCAUUGAAUGGCAUUUUGCAUACAAUUAAUGCGCAAUUUUCUUUUCAUUGUGUUGGUAGAAAGUAUUUCACUAAAUUCUAUAAAAGUUGAAGCAUUUCAUAUGUUCGAACUUGAAGAGUCUUGUCUACAAAUCAAUGCAAAUGUGUCGAAGUCACAAGUGGCUUCUGAAUCACAGAAACAAAACCCGCAAAAAGUGUUUAAUAAAACAACAAGAAUUAGAACAUUGGCCAAGGAGACAAAUGAGUUGUUAAAGAUGCAACAAAAGUUUUAUCGGAAUGAAAAUAUUCGUGCGUUAGAAAUAGUGAACGUGAGGCGAGAGCUAUUCGAGCUGAAAAAAGAGCUACUCGAUGUGAAAAGUAAAUUGGGUACCGAAGCAGAUAUUAAAAUAGAGGAGUAUGAUUGAUAGCACACAGAAACUCAAAGUGCACAAUUUGGGAAAUUAUUUCUGCGAUCAGCUUAUCGCCUUUCGAGCAAAUCUAUUUUGUGCUGGCAUCAAACUGUCUAGUGCGCUACUUGAAAUGUAAAUAUAUGGAGUACUACUAACCUGGCGUAUAGUCUGGACGCAGCUCGUGAUGCUUAAUGCCAAAACUGAAUUCUGGUGUCUUGCUCAGCUUUACCUUUUCAGGACAAUAUGCGCCCGGAGCUGUUGAAUAGAUGAAGCCGUCAUCAAUUAUUCAUACACAAAGGAUGAUGGAUGGAUAUUACUUUUUGAUUUGGAUUCAAUGAGGGUUCGAUCUACCGCGUAAAUCUUUUCGUUGCGUUAUUGUUAGCUUGGU